UACGAGGGGUGCAAGCGUUAUUCGGAAUCAUUAGGGCGUAAAGGGUGCGUAGACGGCUUACUAAGUCAACUGUUUAAUUCUCCGGCCUAACUGGAGGUCAGCGGUAGAAACUGGUAUGCUUGAGGUUGGAAGAGAGGAGUGGAAUUCUCGGAGUAGCGGUAAAAUGCGUAGAUCUCGAGAGGAACACCGAUGGCGAAGGCAGCUCCUUGGUCCAAAUCUGACGUUGAGGCACGAAAGCGUGGGGAGCAAACAGG
Molecule: ribosomal RNA, 254 nt
Filed under: uncultured bacterium
Lineage: Bacteria
Description: partial 16S ribosomal RNA
Rfam family: Bacterial small subunit ribosomal RNA
Source: RNAcentral